RNAcentral lists this ribosomal RNA (499 nucleotides) under uncultured bacterium. Its description in RNAcentral is "partial 16S ribosomal RNA". It matches the Rfam family "Bacterial small subunit ribosomal RNA", at positions 28 to 507 of the family's 1533-position model. The record is from RNAcentral.
GAUGAACGCUGGCGGCGUGCCUAAUACAUGCAAGUCGAGCGAACAGACGAGAGUGCUUGCACUCUCUGACGUUAGCGGCGGACGGGUGAGUAACACGUGGGUAACCUACCUAUAAGACUGGGAUAACUUCGGGAAACCGGAGCUAAUACCGGAUAAUAUUUAGCUUCGCAUGAAGCAAUAGUGAAAGACGGUUCUGCUGUCACUUAUAGAUGGACCCGCGGUGUAUUAGCUAGUUGGUGAGGUAACGGCUCACCAAGGCAACGAUACAUAGCCGACCUGAGAGGGUGAUCGGCCACACUGGAACUGAGACACGGCCCAGACUCCUACGGGAGGCAGCAGUAGGGAAUCUUCCGCAAUGGACGAAAGUCUGACGGAGCAAUGCCGCGUGAGUGAAGAAGGUUUUCGGAUCGUAAAACUCUGUUGUAAGGGAAGAACAAGUACGUUAGUAACUGAACGUACCUUGACGGUACCUUACCAGAAAGCCACGGCUAACUACGUG